RNAcentral lists this ribosomal RNA (497 nucleotides) under uncultured bacterium. RNAcentral describes it as "partial 16S ribosomal RNA". It matches the Rfam family "Bacterial small subunit ribosomal RNA", at positions 28 to 507 of the family's 1533-position model. The record is from RNAcentral.
GACGAACGCUGGCGGCGUGCCUAAUACAUGCGAGUAGAACGCUGAAGAGAGGAGCUUGCUCUUCUUGGAUGAGUUGCGAACGGGUGAGUAACGCGUAGGUAACCUGCCUUGUAGCGGGGGAUAACUAUUGGAAACGAUAGCUAAUACCGCAUAACAAUGGAUGACACAUGUCAUUUAUUUGAAAGGGGCAAUUGCUCCACUACAAGAUGGACCUGCGUUGUAUUAGCUAGUAGGUGAGGUAAUGGCUCACCUAGGCGACGAUACAUAGCCGACCUGAGAGGGUGAUCGGCCACACUGGGACUGGGACACGGCCCAGACUCCUACGGGAGGCAGCAGUAGGGAAUCUUCGGCAAUGGGGGCAACCCUGACCGAGCAACGCCGCGUGAGUGAAGAAGGUUUUCGGAUCGUAAAGUUCUGUUGUAAGUCAAGAACGGGUGUGAGAGUGGAAAGUUCACACUGUGACGGUAGCUUACCAGAAAGGGACGGCUAACUACGUG